AGUGAACGCUGGCGGUAGGCCUAACACAUGCAAGUCGAACGGCAGCACAGUAAGAGCUUGCUCUUACGGGUGGCGAGUGGCGGACGGGUGAGGAAUACAUCGGAAUCUACUUUUUCGUGGGGGAUAACGUAGGGAAACUUACGCUAACACCGCAUACGACCUACGGGUGAAAGCAGGGGAUCUUCGGACCUUGCGCGAUUGAAUGAGCCGAUGUCGGAUUAGCUAGUUGGCGGGGUAAAGGCCCACCAAGGCGACGAUCCGUAGCUGGUCUGAGAGGAUGAUCAGCCACACUGGAACUGAGACAAGGUCCAGACUCCUACGGGAGGCAGCAGUGGGGAAUAUUGGACAAUGGGCGCAAGCCUGAUCCAGCCAUACCGCGUGGGUGAAGAAGGCCUUCGGGUUGUAAAGCCCUUUUGUCGGGAAAGAAAAGCAGCAGGUUAAUACCCCGCUGUUCUGACGGUACCCAAAGAAUAAGCACCGGCUAACUUCGUG
RNAcentral lists this ribosomal RNA (492 nucleotides) under uncultured bacterium. Its description in RNAcentral is "partial 16S ribosomal RNA". It matches the Rfam family "Bacterial small subunit ribosomal RNA", at positions 29 to 507 of the family's 1533-position model. The record is from RNAcentral.